Molecule: unclassified non-coding RNA, 253 nt
Filed under: uncultured Gemmatimonadota bacterium
Lineage: Bacteria; Pseudomonadati; Gemmatimonadota
Description: uncultured Gemmatimonadetes bacterium contains 16S-23S intergenic spacer region
Rfam family: Bacterial small subunit ribosomal RNA
Source: RNAcentral
GACGGAGGGCGCAAGCGUUGUCCGGAAUUACUGGGCGUAAAGCGUGCGCAGGCGGCCUGUUAAGUCCUUUGUGAAAUCCCGGGGCUCAACCCCGGAAUCGCAGAGGAUACUGGCAGGCUAGAGAACGGUAGAGGCUAACGGAAUUCCCGGUGUAGCGGUGGAAUGCGUAGAUAUCGGGAAGAACACCAGUGGCGAAGGCGGUUAGCUGGGCCGUGUCUGACGCUCAUGCACGAAAGCGUGGGGAGCAAACAGG